GGGAAGGUGGCUCAGUGGUAGAGUGCUUGCCUUGCAUGCAUGAGGCCCUGGGUUUGAUUCCUCAGCACCCCA
Molecule: non-coding RNA, 72 nt
Organism: Dipodomys ordii (Ord's kangaroo rat)
Lineage: Eukaryota; Metazoa; Chordata; Mammalia; Rodentia; Heteromyidae
Source: Rfam